Long non-coding RNA from Sycon ciliatum, 1214 nucleotides. RefSeq lists it as uncharacterized. The record is from RefSeq and is a predicted model, not a curated record. NCBI's taxonomy places the organism in Eukaryota, Metazoa, Porifera, Calcarea, Leucosolenida, Sycettidae. The transcript is spliced from 3 exons.
UUCUUGUUCAAUAGAGGAUAAAUGUAGUUUGAGUGAUAAUAAUUAUUGUGCCGUACGAUCUGACUCCCUUACCACUGCCGAGAGUGUGAAGAAAACCGAUCUCUACACGAAAGUCUGACGUCUUUCAACCCCUCUUGUGAAGCUGAAGCGAAGUGCUGGCACGGCACUAACGACUAACGUAACAAUGACACCUGCUCUGUCACUCCUUGCACUCACCAUCACCGUGUGUAUUGUGCACAGUGAGGCAAGCGUGAGAAAUCUAACGGAUGUUAGAAUUGACAGUGACGUCACAGCCGAUCUUGGAGACAAUUGGAAGGCAAUCGAACUCUACUUGAUCGACUGUAGGGACCACGGGCGGAAGUUUAGCCAACAUAUGCAAAUGGGUCCCACGCACCGUCAAAAGGCACGCCACGGAAAUUGCAAACAGAAGGUCCGGUGUGCCGAAUUCGUGCCCGGCGUGGUUACAUUUCCACGACUCCACUAUGAGCAAAUACCGCCCACACGUACUCACCAUUUUUAUGGUUGCAACUGCCUUCCAAUCAAAUAUCCUUUUUCUUAUUUAAAGAAAGUUGGCAAUCACUGGGAAAUGCAGAUAAAGGCAAUUCUGGUCGGGCAGCGCUGCAACAAGAACCCCACCUGCCGUAGAUAUGAAUGCUGAGGCAUCUAUUCUUCAAUCAAAUUGAAUGAUGUUGCAUAGAACUAAGUGGAAAUAUUUACGACGGCGUAAUGCAUGCGUUCGCAUUUCACUAGUGUAGUAAACUCGCUCUGCACGAAUCUAGAAGUGUACGCCUAAACGUAGAUCACUAUUAUUUGCUUCAUGUGUUUCAUGAUCUCUAACGUUACAAUCCGUCCAAAUUACAUGUAUAUCCAGAUAACACAAGAGAGAGAGAGAGAGAGAGAGAGAGAGAGAGAGAGAGAGAGAGAGAGGUAGAGAGGGAAGCUGUGUUGUGUUUUAGUCACGAUCACCAGGCAACAUGCAUAUCCAAAUACAUGUAUUAAUCCGAAUCAUUUCCGUGCAAUCAGCUCAAACAAACGGCCUACUAUUAUGGUCCCUACCAACCAAAAGUUCCCAUGUUGUCUCCUCUACAUGUAUUAUCCUUCUGCAAUAUCUUCGAUAUUUUAUCCUUUUGAUUAUUCCGAUUUAACAUCAUAUUACCACUAUUUCAAACCAUAUCAUAACACAAAGACAAUUCCUUUCAAUCAUGAUCUACUUG